GAACCGGAAGCCGGGUUACGG
This 21-nucleotide small nuclear RNA is filed under the name Arabidopsis thaliana (thale cress). RNAcentral describes it as "snRNA_17299". Lineage: Eukaryota; Viridiplantae; Streptophyta; Magnoliopsida; Brassicales; Brassicaceae. The record is from RNAcentral.